AACGAACGCUGGCGGCGCGUCUUAAGCAUGCAAGUCGAGCGGCAAGGGCAGCAAUGCCCCUAGAGCGGCGGACUGGUGAGUAACGCGUAGGUGAUCUACCUCUGGGAUGGGGAUAGCUUGUGGAAACACAGGAUAAUACCGAAUACGCUUGCCGGACCAUGGUUUGGCAAGGAAAGGCCCGUUUGGGCCGUCCGGAGAUGAGCCUGCGUCUGAUUAGCUUGUUGGCGGGGUAAUGGCCCACCAAGGCGAUGAUCAGUAGCCGGCCUGAGAGGGUGAACGGCCACAUUGGGACUGAGAUACGGCCCAAACUCCUACGGGUGGCUG
This 324-nucleotide ribosomal RNA is filed under the name uncultured Spirochaetota bacterium. RNAcentral describes it as "bacterial SSU rRNA". It matches the Rfam family "Bacterial small subunit ribosomal RNA", at positions 29 to 351 of the family's 1533-position model. The record is from RNAcentral. Lineage: Bacteria; Pseudomonadati; Spirochaetota.